AGGGAUUUUCAAUCAGAUCUAAAGAGGCAGCAGCCACCAUUCUGCCAUUCUGCUUCAUGGGAGGGGAGAGGGGGAGAGAGAGAGAUUUGCUUUCCUUUGCCUUGCCAUGCCAUUGCCAUGCCAAUUGCCUUCUGCCUUGCCAGCCUGAGCCCAGCCUGCCUUGCCACCCAGCCUGCCCGCCCCUGCUGGCUACUGCAUGCCAACCUGGGAAUGGAUUAUCUGCUGCAUUGCUUUUUUGAUCCUGAUAAGAAUUCUUUUAUCACCCCCUUGAGAGAAUCACUGCCUGCCUGUGCCUGCUGUGUCUGUACCCGCCACCAGCUUUCCUCCCAGAAUUUCCAGGCUUUUGCCCCAGCCGCACCCCCAGCCCCACCAAAUCUGAAGACUGAAGGAGAAGUCAAGAAGAAGAUUGAAGAAGAAAGAGUACACUCAGAGACCAGACCACAGAAGAAGACAACUGGACACACAAUGGGGUGAAGCCUUAGACUGAAGAAUCUACACUCAGAAUACCUCAGAAACAACAAAACCCAGUACCCCAUCGGCUUGUGAGUAUGGGAGUGUUUGCCUGCAUCCAGGCACUGAUUCAGGACUGUCACUGCCUCACCUGCAUCUGAUGAAAAAGAGAGAUGCAACUGAAUGUCAUCCACAAACAGUUUGAAAGGAGCUCUUGACCAGACAAGACUCAGACCAGAUGAGGCAACAAGCUUGAUUUCUUUCUAGGGACAAACAGCAAGCAGCAAGCAAUAGUCCUCUUGAUAGAGCUCUUCGAUCUCAUCCUCCGUAUAGUGUGAACCUCUCAGCUUCUUCAAGACUGGAUAGGGAGAGAAGAGAGAAGGAUUUGAAGUGUUGGGAGGGGGGGACACAGUGGGCCAAGAGACAUUUGGGUACUCCAGAAAACCCAGGAUUCAGGAGGCCCUAAGCUAAGGAGAACUGCAGCAUCCUGGCAGACGUGGGGAGAACAAACUUGUGUGCUGAGACCUGAUGUGCAAUGAACACAUUUUCCAGUCUUGGAAAUGUUCAGCCUUACACCUUCUGGAACCAAUUCUGGGGCAUUUCCAGAUGGAGAAAUACUUUGUUUGAAAAAGUAAAUGUGUUUGCAUUUAUCAAGUGUCUUUCCACACGAAACAGCUCUAGCUCCCUUUGGCACCUCUUUGCACUUAUCAACUUGGUGUUUACAUUGCUUGCUUCCUCCAUGUGCUGUUUCAUGGUGCCAUCUGCUGGCUACUUGUCCAUGAUAAAAAUUAAACUACUUUUAAAGAA
Molecule: long non-coding RNA, 1257 nt
Organism: Hemicordylus capensis (graceful crag lizard)
Lineage: Eukaryota; Metazoa; Chordata; Lepidosauria; Squamata; Cordylidae
Exons: 3
Source: RefSeq, a predicted model, not a curated record